UACAGAGGAGCCAAGCGUUGUCCGGAUUGACUGGGCGUAAAGCGCACGCAGGCGGACGCGCGCGUGGGGUGUGAAAUCUGGCCGCUUAACGGCCAGGCGCCAUCCCAUACGGCGCGUCUGGAGUGAUGCAGAGGUCGGUGGAAUUGCCGGUGUAGUGGUGAAAUGCGUAGAGAUCGGCAGGAACACCCAGGGGGAAACCAGCCGACUGGGCAUCUACUGACGCUGAGGAGCGAAAGCAUGGGGAGCGAACAGG
This 253-nucleotide ribosomal RNA is filed under the name uncultured bacterium. Its description in RNAcentral is "partial 16S ribosomal RNA". It matches the Rfam family "Bacterial small subunit ribosomal RNA", at positions 524 to 776 of the family's 1533-position model. The record is from RNAcentral.